Theobroma cacao (cacao) is the source of this 289-nucleotide non-coding RNA. The record is from RefSeq and is a predicted model, not a curated record. Lineage: Eukaryota; Viridiplantae; Streptophyta; Magnoliopsida; Malvales; Malvaceae.
GGGAAAAGUGUGAAAAUUCAAGGAAACAAGUGAAAAAGGGUGGUGAAUCCUCCGAUAAAGGCAAAAAAAUUGUACUCGAGCAUCGAUAGUCGGAGUACUCUAAAAAUUCGACUCCCGAAAUACUUGCUGCAGUGGGCGGGUUCUGUGGACCAACCUAUUAGAGGGGCACGAAAUUCGAUUAUAUACGUACUUCGGUUGGAGAGACGCAUAGGAUAUCUCCUGAGGUAUGGUUAGAGUUCACGUCACGCUAAACCACCUCGUGAUGAUGAACUCCGCUAAUGCCAAGGAA